GACGAACGCUGGCGGCGUGCUUAACACAUGCAAGUCGAACGGAAAGGCCCCUUUGGGGGUACUCGAGUGGCGAACGGGUGAGUAACACGUGAGUAACCUGCCCUUGACUUCGGGAUAACUUAAGGCAACUGGGGCUAAUACCGGAUAGGAAUCCUUGCUGCCUGGUGGGGGUUGGAAAGCUUCGGCGGUUUUGGAUGGACUCGCGGCUUAUCAGCUUGUUGGUGGGGUAGUGGCUUACCAAGGCUUUGACGGGUAGCCGGCCUGAGAGGGCGACCGGCCACAUUGGGACUGAGAUACGGCCCAGACUCCUACGGGAGGCAGCAGUGGGGAAUAUUGCACAAUGGGCGGAAGCCUGAUGCAGCAACGCCGCGGGCGGGAUGACGGCCUUCGGGUUGUAAACCGCUUUCAGCAGGGGCGAAGCUUGUGGUGACGGUACCUGCAGAAGAAGCACCGGCUAACUACGUG
RNAcentral lists this ribosomal RNA (465 nucleotides) under uncultured bacterium. RNAcentral's name for it is "partial 16S ribosomal RNA". It matches the Rfam family "Bacterial small subunit ribosomal RNA", at positions 28 to 507 of the family's 1533-position model. The record is from RNAcentral.